This 797-nucleotide ribosomal RNA is filed under the name uncultured archaeon. RNAcentral describes it as "bacterial SSU rRNA". It matches the Rfam family "Archaeal small subunit ribosomal RNA", at positions 1 to 804 of the family's 1478-position model. The record is from RNAcentral.
UUCCGGUUGAUCCUGCCAGAGGCCACCGCUAUUGGAUUUCGAUUAAACCAUGCGAGUCGAGAGGGUUUCGGCCCUCGGCGGACCGCUCAGUAACACGCGGAUAACCUGCCCUCGGGUGGGGGAUAAGCUCGGGAAACUGAGUAUAAUACCCCAUAGACCAUCUAUGCUGGAACGCUUGAUGGUCGAAAGCUCCGGCGCCCAAGGAUGGAUCUGCGGCCUAUCAGGUUGUAGUUGGUGUAACGGACCAACUAGCCUACGACGGGUACGGGCCUUGAGAGAGGUAGCCCGGAGAUGGAUUCUGAGACAUGAAUCCAGGCCCUACGGGGCGCAGCAGGUGCGAAAACUUCGCAAUGUGGGAAACCACGACGAGGGGAAUCCAAGUGCUUGCACAAUGUGUAGGCUGUUUCUAUGCCUAAAAAGCAUGGAGAGUAAGGGCUGGGUAAGACGGGUGCCAGCCGCCGCGGUAAUACCCGCAGCCCGAGUGGUGGUCGUUAUUAUUGGGCCUAAAACGUCCGUAGCCGGCCCGGUAAAUUCGUGGGGAAAUCGGUCAGCUUAACUGACCGAAGUCCGCGGAGACUGCCGGGCUUGGGACUGGGUGAGGUCAGAGGUACUUCAGGGGUAGGGGUAAAAUCCUGUAAUCCUUGAAGGACCACCAGUGGCGAAGGCGUCUGACUAGAACGGAUCCGACGGUAAGGGACGAAGCCCUGGGGCACAAACGGGAUUAGAUACCCCGGUAGUCCAGGGUGUAAACGCUGUGGGCUUGGUGUUGGGAGUCCCACGAGGGCGCCCAGUGCCGG